RNAcentral lists this ribosomal RNA (790 nucleotides) under uncultured archaeon. RNAcentral describes it as "bacterial SSU rRNA". It matches the Rfam family "Archaeal small subunit ribosomal RNA", at positions 85 to 878 of the family's 1478-position model. The record is from RNAcentral.
ACGGCUCAGUAACACGUAGUCAACAUGCCCAGGGGACGUGGAUAACCUCGGGAAACUGAGGAUAAACCGCGAUAGGCCAAGAUUUCUGGAAUGAAUCAUGGUUUAAAUCUAUAUGGCCCCUGGAUUGGACUGCGGCCGAUCAGGCUGUUGGUGAGGUAAUGGCCCACCAAACCUGUAACCGGUACGGGCUCUGAGAGGAGGAGCCCGGAGAUGGGCACUUAGACAAGGGCCCAGGCCCUAUGAGGCGCAGCAGGCGCGAAACCUCUGCAAUAAGCGAAAGCUUGACAGGGUUACUCUGAGUGAUUUCCGCUAAGGAAGUCUUUUGGCACCUCUAAAAAUGGUGCAGAAUAAGGGGUGGGCAAGUCUGGUGUCAGCCGCCGCGGUAAUACCAGCACCCCGAGUGGUCGGGACGAUUAUUGGGCCUAAAGCAUCCGUAGCCGGUCCUGCAAGUCCUCCGUUAAAUCCACCCGCUCAACGGUUGGGCCGCGGGGGAUACUACAGGGCUAGGAGGCGGGAGAGGCAAGCGGUACUCGAUGGGUAGGGGUAAAAUCCACUGAUCCAUUGAAGACCACCAGUGGCGAAGGCGGCUUGCCAGAACGCGCUCGACGGUGAGGGAUGAAAGCUGGGGGAGCAAACCGGAUUAGAUACCCGGGUAGUCCCAGCUGUAAACGAUGCAGACUCGGUGAUGGGCUGGCUUCGUGCCAACCCGGUGCCGCAGGGAAGCCGUUAAGUCUGCCGCCUGGGGAGUACGGUCGCAAGACUGAAACUUAAAGGAAUUGGCGGGGGAGCA